CCGAGUUUACAACUCCCAAACCCCAUGUGAACCUUACCAAAACGUUGCUUCGGCGGGAUGCCCCGGGCGCGGGCCGCAAGGCCUCAGCCCCGGAACCAGGCGCCCGCCGGAGGCCCAAACCAAACUCUUUCUGUAGUCCCCUCGCGGACGUAUUUCUUACAGCUCUGAGCAAAAAUUCAAAAUGAAUCA
Molecule: unclassified non-coding RNA, 189 nt
Filed under: uncultured Hypomyces
Lineage: Eukaryota; Fungi; Ascomycota; Sordariomycetes; Hypocreales; Hypocreaceae
Description: sequence contains ITS1
Source: RNAcentral